RNAcentral lists this ribosomal RNA (120 nucleotides) under Helianthus annuus (common sunflower). The record is from RNAcentral. Lineage: Eukaryota; Viridiplantae; Streptophyta; Magnoliopsida; Asterales; Asteraceae.
GGUUGCGAUCAUACCAGCACUAAUGCAUUGGAUCUCAUCAUAACUCCGCAUUUAAGCGUGCUUGGGCGAGAGUAGUACUAGGAGGGGUGACCCCCUGGGAAGUCCUCGUGUUGCAACCCC